GUUUCAUUUUCAAUCAGAUGUAACUUACUUUAAAAGUUUUUAUCUCCUGCUUUGUAAAUUUAAUGUUUAUCACACAGAUGAGGCUUUUUCAGGGUCUUGAAGGCUAUUAAUAGAGCAGGAGAUGAUAAAUUUGAAACUAAAUAGAAUGUGCAAUAAAGGAAGUAUCAAAAUUAGAUGACUCUUUACAGGAAGUGUUUAGAGAGGCUGUGUAAGUCACAUGCAGGGAGAAGUGACUAGGGCUGAAUAAACAAAUUAAGGGGGUAAGACGAAGUAAUAUCAGGAUUGUCAUUACGGCCUUUAUACGUCCGAGGCCUACCGAGCUUCAGGCGCCGACAGUAAGGAGAGGCAGCUGAUCCUCUGACACCAAGCAAAUAACUUGGUGCGGAACACCCAGAGCCCUUCCCACCCUCCUCCCCUUGAACCGGCAGGGGAUAUCCCAGUCCCCACUGGGCCACAAAGC
Pelobates cultripes (western spadefoot toad) is the source of this 460-nucleotide non-coding RNA. NCBI's taxonomy places the organism in Eukaryota, Metazoa, Chordata, Amphibia, Anura, Pelobatidae. The record is from the annotation of a GenBank genome assembly.